CAUACACUAAUACAGGAAUGCAAAGACUAUAACCCACCACUCCUUAAUAACAUCCCCAUGCCACUACUUGGGCUGCUGUGAUGACCCCAAAAGUAGCACCACAACUCUAGAACCAUCAAUACAAGCACAGUGGGGGAGAAACCCCCUUAUGCAACUAGUGGAAUAAAAUACAUACCAAUGCGUAUGCCUUACAUUUUGUUCUCAUUGAAUAUUUAACAGGAGCUCCUAUACCACAAUUUUAACUUACAG
This 249-nucleotide unclassified non-coding RNA is filed under the name Hevea brasiliensis (rubber tree). The record is from RNAcentral. Lineage: Eukaryota; Viridiplantae; Streptophyta; Magnoliopsida; Malpighiales; Euphorbiaceae.